CAGUAGCCGCGGUAAUACGUAGGUGGCAAGCGUUGUCCGGAAUUAUUGGGCGUAAAGGGCUCGCAGGCGGUUUCUUAAGUCUGAUGUGAAAGCCCCCGGCUCAUCCGGGGAGGGUCAUUGGAAACUGGGAAACUUGAGUGCAGAAGAGGAGAGUGGAAUUCCACGUGUAGCGGUGAAAUGCGUAGAGAUGUGGAGGAACACCAGUGGCGAAGGCGACUCUCUGGUCUGUAACUGACGCUGAGGAGCGAAAGCGUGGGGAGCGAACAGGAUUAGAGACCCCCGUAGUCCCUGUCUCUUAUAA
This 301-nucleotide ribosomal RNA is filed under the name uncultured bacterium. RNAcentral describes it as "partial 16S ribosomal RNA". It matches the Rfam family "Bacterial small subunit ribosomal RNA", at positions 509 to 809 of the family's 1533-position model. The record is from RNAcentral.